This 783-nucleotide long non-coding RNA is filed under the name Equus caballus (horse). Its description in RNAcentral is "lncRNA (ENSECAG00000030503.2)". Lineage: Eukaryota; Metazoa; Chordata; Mammalia; Perissodactyla; Equidae. The record is from RNAcentral.
CUUGGAUAUAUGAGGGAAUGGGGCGGGGAAAUGAGGAUAGAGGGCCAGGGCAGUUCAAAGAGAGUCCCACAGGCUGUGGUCAGAAAAUUUCAUCUUAUCCCACAAGCUGUGAGGAACCAGGGAAGAUGUUAAGCUUCGGAGUAUUAAAGUCAGAGUAAUAAACAUGGAAAGAAGCAAGAAGAGAAGGGUGUGCUGUGUUUUGAAAGGCCAGGUUGCAGUGUGGAAGAAGGCCUGGGGAGAGAGCCUCUGAGGUCUCUGGCCUGUGUUGGCUGGGGGGGUUGCAAGAAAAGGAAUUAAAGUGUGGAAAAGGACCAGCAAGCAACACAUUAUGUUAAAAGGUUGGUGGAUGAUGACGCAUUCAAGCAAUUAACAUGAGAGAGGAAACGGCUUGGCAGGGAAGAUAAAUUCAGUUUGGGACUUACUGGGGUUGAGAAAGUUUGGGAGAUCCACGUGGAUAUGUUGGUAGAUGCUUGAAAAUACAGUGUUGUUGACUUCUGUUUAAAUUUAAUACUAUCAAUGAAUGACCACGCAGUCUUGGAGGAUCCUGCAGACUAAUUCUGGAUGCUGCUAAAGGAAGGUAUGAGGCUUAGAGCUCUGGCUACCACUGUGACUGUGAGUGGGCACUGAUGCUGAUCCACUGAGCAGCAAAGCGUGGAAAGAUAGAAAGAACCUGGAUCAUUGUGACAUCACUGAGCUGUUGCAACCAUCCUGUACCACCAGACCUCUUGUUACCUACAAUAAUUAAAUGUCAUUAUUGUUUAAGCUAUUGUCAUUAGAGCAUUG